AGGUGACCUGCGGAAGGAUCAUUACUAGAGCAAAGGAUAGACAGCGCCCGCGGAGCUCGCUCCCGGGGCUACCCUACUCCCGUAGGGUUUAGAGUCGUCGGGCCUCUCGGAGAAGCUCGGUCCUGAACUCCACCCUUGAAUAAACUACCUUUGUUGCUUUGGCGGGCCGCCUCGUGCCAGCGGCUUCGGCUGUUGAGUGCCCGCCAGAGGACCCCAACUCUUGUUUUUAGUGAUGUCUGAGUACUAUAUAAUAGUUAAAACUUUCAACAACGGAUCUCUUGGUUCUGGCAUCGAUGAAGAACGCAGCGAAAUGCGAUAAGUAAUGUGAAUUGCAGAAUUCAGUGAAUCAUCGAAUCUUUGAACGCACAUUGCGCCCUCUGGUAUUCCGGGGGGCAUGCCUGUUCGAGCGUCAUUAUAACCACUCAAGCUCUCGCUUGGUAUUGGGGUUCGCGGUUUCGCGGCCCCUAAAAUCAGUGGCGGUGCCUGUCGGCUCUACGCGUAGUAAUACUCCUCGCGAUUGAGUCCGGUAGGUCUACUUGCCAGCAACCCCUAAUUUUUUUAAGGUUGACCUCGGAUCAGGUAGGGAUACCCGCUGAACUUAAGCAUAUCAAUAAGCGGAGGAAAAGAAACCAACAGGGAUUACCUCAGUAACGGCGAGUGAAGCGGUAACAGCUCAAAUUUGAAAGCUGGCUCUUUUAGGGUCCGCGUUGUAAUUUGUAGAAGAUGCUUCGGGUGUGGCCCCGGUCUAAGUUCCUUGGAC
RNAcentral lists this ribosomal RNA (760 nucleotides) under fungal sp. Its description in RNAcentral is "eukaryotic LSU rRNA". The stretch from base 259 to 412 matches the Rfam family "5.8S ribosomal RNA". The record is from RNAcentral. Lineage: Eukaryota; Fungi.